This 253-nucleotide ribosomal RNA is filed under the name uncultured bacterium. RNAcentral's name for it is "partial 16S ribosomal RNA". It matches the Rfam family "Bacterial small subunit ribosomal RNA", at positions 524 to 776 of the family's 1533-position model. The record is from RNAcentral.
UACAGAGGGUGCAAGCGUUGUUCGGAAUUAUUGGGCGUAAAGCGCGUGUAGGCGGCUUAGCAAGUCGGGUGUGAAAUCCCUCAGCUCAACUGAGGAAGUGCGCCCGAAACUGCUGAGCUUGAGUGCCGGAGAGGAUGGCGGAAUUCCCCAAGUAGAGGUGAAAUUCGUAGAUAUGGGGUGGAACACCGGUGGCGAAGGCGGCCAUCUGGACGGUAACUGACGCUGAGACGCGAAAGCGUGGGUAGCAAACAGG